Molecule: unclassified non-coding RNA, 340 nt
Filed under: soil metagenome
Description: partial contains 5.8S ribosomal RNA, internal transcribed spacer 2, and large subunit ribosomal RNA
Rfam family: 5.8S ribosomal RNA (bases 1-120)
Source: RNAcentral
GAUGAAGAACGUAGCGAAAUGCGAUAAGUAAUGUGAAUUGCAGAGUUCAGUGAAUCAUCGAAUCUUUGAACGCACAUUGCGCCCGUCAGUAUUCUGACGGGCAUGCCUGUCCGAGCGUCAUUUCAACCCUCAAGCACUGCUUGGCGUUGGCGGAUUGUGUGCCCUCGCGGCGCUGCAACCGCCCAAAUACAGUGGCGGUCCCGCUGCGGCUCCCUUUGCGUAGUAACUCACCUCGCACUGGACCGGGCGGCGGCCUGCCGUAAAACCCCAACUCACGAAAUGUUGACCUCGGAUCAGGUAGGAAUACCCGCUGAACUUAAGCAUAUCAAUAAGCGGAGGA